GCUUGCUGUUUCGCUGACGAGUGGCGGACGGGUGAGUAAUGUCUGGGAAACUGCCUGAUGGAGGGGGAUAACUACUGGAAACGGUAGCUAAUACCGCAUAACGUCGCAAGACCAAAGAGGGGGACCUUCGGGCCUCUUGCCAUCGGAUGUGCCCAGAUGGGAUUAGCUAGUAGGUGGGGUAACGGCUCACCUAGGCGACGAUCCCUAGCUGGUCUGAGAGGAUGACCAGCCACACUGGAACUGAGACACGGUCCAGACUCCUACGGGAGGCAGCAGUGGGGAAUAUUGCACAAUGGGCGCAAGCCUGAUGCAGCCAUGCCGCGUGUAUGAAGAAGGCCUUCGGGUUGUAAAGUACUUUCAGCGGGGAGGAAGGGAGUAAAGUUAAUACCUUUACUCAUUGACGUUACCCGCAGAAGAAGCACCGGCUAACUCCGUGCCAGCAGCCGCGGUAAUACGGAGGGUGCAAGCGUUAAUCGGAAUUACUGGGCGUAAAGCGCACGCAGGCGGUUUGUUAAGUCAGAUGUGAAAUCCCCGGGCUCAACCUGGGAACUGCAUCUGAUACUGGCAAGCUUGAGUCUCGUAGAGGGGGGUAGAAUUCCAGGUGUAGCGGUGAAAUGCGUAGAGAUCUGGAGGAAUACCGGUGGCGAAGGCGGCCCCCUGGACGAAGACUGACGCUCAGGUGCGAAAGCGUGAGGAGCAAACAGGAU
RNAcentral lists this ribosomal RNA (707 nucleotides) under uncultured bacterium. Its description in RNAcentral is "bacterial SSU rRNA". It matches the Rfam family "Bacterial small subunit ribosomal RNA", at positions 78 to 778 of the family's 1533-position model. The record is from RNAcentral.